CACAGCCAAGUCAGUUCAGCCCCGUCCCCCAGAGCCGGGCUGGCCACAUGGCUGCCACAACAAGGGCCACCAUUCAGUGGCCCUGGGUCCCCUGCCCUGGGCCCUGCAGGGGCUGUGGGUAGUAAGCU
RNAcentral lists this small nucleolar RNA (128 nucleotides) under Myotis brandtii (Brandt's bat). Its description in RNAcentral is "Small nucleolar RNA SNORA5". The record is from Rfam by way of RNAcentral. Lineage: Eukaryota; Metazoa; Chordata; Mammalia; Chiroptera; Vespertilionidae.